RNAcentral lists this ribosomal RNA (226 nucleotides) under uncultured bacterium. RNAcentral describes it as "partial 16S ribosomal RNA". It matches the Rfam family "Bacterial small subunit ribosomal RNA", at positions 355 to 598 of the family's 1533-position model. The record is from RNAcentral.
UGGGGGAUAUUGCACAAUGGAGGAAACUCUGAUGCAGCAACGCCGCGUGAAGGAUGAAGGUCUUCGGAUUGUAAACUUUUGUACUUGGGGACGAUAAUGACGGUACCCAAGCAGCAAGCUCCGGCUAACUACGUGCCAGCAGCCGCGGUAAUACGUAGGGAGCAAGCGUUGUCCGGAUUUACUGGGUGUAAAGGGUGCGUAGGCGGCCAUACAAGUCAGUUGUGAA